AUCCAGCUGACGAGUCCCAAAUAGAACGAAACUCGCGUAGUGGAU
RNAcentral lists this non-coding RNA (45 nucleotides) under Schistosoma mansoni. The record is from RNAcentral. Lineage: Eukaryota; Metazoa; Platyhelminthes; Trematoda; Strigeidida; Schistosomatidae.